Non-coding RNA from Cicer arietinum (chickpea), 306 nucleotides. The record is from RefSeq and is a predicted model, not a curated record. Lineage: Eukaryota; Viridiplantae; Streptophyta; Magnoliopsida; Fabales; Fabaceae.
CUUGAAAGAGAAAAUGGCUUCUAACAUCAUCCGUGUCUAUUUUUUCAUCGCAUUGCUAUGUAUUGCUUCCACUUUGACUCCAGGAGGAGCAAUUGACGCAACAACUUCAUGGACUUAUUGCAUUGGCAAAGGUCCAUGUCCAAGUGAUAAGGAUUGUACUAAAUAUUGUUUGGAAUCAACUUUUCUUCAUGGUGGCAAGUGCAUAGGAAAUCAAUGUUGUUGUAUUCGAUAAUUGUCAAACUGUUUCUAUAAAUAGUCUUUAUGAACUCUUUCAAAAUAAAUGAAAGUUAAAUUAUUAUUUUUUUA